Molecule: ribosomal RNA, 511 nt
Filed under: uncultured microorganism
Description: bacterial SSU rRNA
Rfam family: Bacterial small subunit ribosomal RNA
Source: RNAcentral
GAGUUUGAUCGUGGCUCAGGAUGAACGCUGGCGGCGUGCCUAAUACAUGCAAGUCGAGCGAACGGACGAGAAGCUUGCUUCUCUGAUGUUAGCGGCGGACGGGUGAGUAACACGUGGAUAACCUACCUAUAAGACUGGGAUAACUUCGGGAAACCGGAGCUAAUACCGGAUAAUAUUUUGAACCGCAUGGUUCAAAAGUGAAAGACGGUCUUGCUGUCACUUAUAGAUGGAUCCGCGCUGCAUUAGCUAGUUGGUAAGGUAACGGCUUACCAAGGCAACGAUGCAUAGCCGACCUGAGAGGGUGAUCGGCCACACUGGAACUGAGACACGGUCCAGACUCCUACGGGAGGCAGCAGUAGGGAAUCUUCCGCAAUGGGCGAAAGCCUGACGGAGCAACGCCGCGUGAGUGAUGAAGGUCUUCGGAUCGUAAAACUCUGUUAUUAGGGAAGAACAUAUGUGUAAGUAACUGUGCACAUCUUGACGGUACCUAAUCAGAAAGCCACGGCUAACU